This 202-nucleotide long non-coding RNA is filed under the name Elaeis guineensis (African oil palm). Its description in RNAcentral is "long non-coding RNA (EGUI_LNC033812)". The record is from RNAcentral. Lineage: Eukaryota; Viridiplantae; Streptophyta; Magnoliopsida; Arecales; Arecaceae.
AACCCCACUAAAGAAAUCAAGUAGGAUUUCUCACUUACUAUAGAUGAAGGCUAUGGUAUCCGAUAAAAUAGUGAAAGACAUAAUUAGAGAGAAGACCCUAUCUACUUAUGCAUGUCAAAUAUGAGUGCUCUACUUAUACUAUUAUUCUUAAUUCAUGUAGAUUUAAUUUUGUAUUAUAGCAACUUUACUCUCACUGAGUGAC